CGGAGGCUCCACCCCCGGUGGGCGGGGCCCCAGCAGGGCUAUAUCUGGGUGCCCAGGUGCGGGUGGGCUCAGAUGGGGCCCGGCAUGGCCGAGGGGCAGGGCGCGGCGGGGGGCGACCCCCCGGACAAGGUGAAGCGCCCCAUGAACGCCUUCAUGGUGUGGUCCAGCGGGCAGCGCCGGCGCCUGGCCCAGGAGCACCCCAAGAUGCACAACUCGGAGAUCUCCAAGCGCCUGGGGGCCGCCUGGCGCCGGCUGCCCGAGGCCGAGAAACGCCCCUUCGUGGAGGAAGCCAAGCGGCUCCGGGCCCGGCACAUGAGGGACUAUCCCGACUACAAGUACCGGCCCAGGCGCAAGGGCCGGGCCCCCGCCAAGGAGCCGCCGGCCGGGAGCCCCCCGCAGCCGCCCGCGGCCCGGGCCUGGGGCUACGGCGAGCCCCUGGGCUACCAGCCGGCCCGUUACCCGCCGUGUCCGGCCGCCGCGGGAUACGGGAAUGCUGCUGCCACUGCAGGGUACAGGUGGGUCCUGCCCGCGCCUCCUGUUCCUGCCCCUGGGGUCCCUCCGGUGAACGGGGGACCCCCAACUGUGGCCCUGUACUGGGGAAAUGGGGGUAUAUUAGCAAGGGGGGGGCUACAUUCCCUCUUUCCCCCAGCCAGGCAUAGCUGAAAUUAGGGCCGCCUGAGGGGUCCAUGUAUAACCAACUCCAGAGGUGGCCGCAUCCCAGCGCCGGGCAAGGGGUCCCCAGGUAACCGGCUGCCCCGCCCCAGAGGUGGGCGCAUGUCAGCGCCGGGCGAGGGGUCCCUGGGUAACCGGCCGCCCUGCCCCAGAGGUGGGCGCAUCUCAGCGCCGGGCGCUGGGGGGAACAUACAGUAGGUUAGGACCAAGCAGGCACCAGACCCAGAAUUUGCAUGUGAACAAGGUGAGUCAAUGCCAGCUGCUGAGGGCAUGAUGGGGCACUAGUCCCUGGGUAUGUGAACCCAGGAGUCCUGGCUCCCAGCCCCCACUCCCCUCCCAGAGCCGGGGAGAGAACCCAGGAGUCCUGGCUCCCAGCCCCCCCUGCUCUGACCCACCAGCCCCCACUCCCCUCCCAGAGCCGGGGAGAGAACCCAGGAGUCCUGGCUCCCAGCCCCCCCUGCUCUGACCCACCAGCCCCCCCUCCCCUCCCAGAGCCGGGGCGAGAACCCAGGAGUCCUGG
RNA transcript from Gopherus flavomarginatus (Mexican gopher tortoise), 1192 nucleotides. It is a transcript of the gene named SRY-box transcription factor 15, with no coding region annotated. Lineage: Eukaryota; Metazoa; Chordata; Testudines; Testudinidae. The transcript is spliced from 2 exons. The record is from RefSeq and is a predicted model, not a curated record.